ACUAAUAUUUAGAAAUGAAAAGAUUUCACAUAAGAGUUGGACUUUGGCCACUUUUCUGCAAGAUCUCUCUAGGCCACUGUGGGCUCCCCACUCCAUCCCUGGCCUGGGAGCCUGCCUGUCGGGUCCAUGGCUGAGUCUUGCACCUGAGCUCCUCAUCUGCCCUCUGUACACGUUUCCCAGAAGGCGGGUGGGCAUCCUCAUGUCCCUCAUCCUCCUCUUCACCACUGCCCAAACUGUGCCCCCUGCCUUGGAACCAGGAAUCCAAGGCCUCCUUCAAGCCCCACUGGCUCCUGUGGCUUUUCCCAGUGACUUCAGCUCAGCUCCAUUCUCUGUACUCACAUAUACCUAAACCCUUAAGCUGGUGGCUGAGCACUUGCCUGUGUUUUCAUUCAUUCCUUUGCCAGGUACCCUGCAGAGCCACCCCGGUGGAGAAAAGACACCUAAAAGUCCGUGCUGGGUCAGGUUUCCUUCCUUGUUCUUCCCUCUGAGACUUUGCUGCCGCUGUGUGGUGAGUCUCGUGAGGUGCAGCAGAGUUUGGUGCAGGAGCUCCGCCAGCCUCACACCCUCAGGAACCCAUGAUGUGGCUUCAUUGGGUGAUUGGAAGGGUGAAAUGCAGGGUUAUGAAUAACCAGAAUGAUCAACACACAUAUAGCCAGGUGUGUUCUACAGACCUUCAAGGAAAUUGGCACUGAAGGUGGAGGCUGGAUGCAUUUUUGCUUCUCUCUGCCCUGCUCAGGGCCAUUUGCUAAGGCAUGCAAACCCUUCCAGAUACUCCUCGAGGAUUCUCCUGGAUUCUAGAGAGUCCCCUGCAAGGGACUGGGCAAGAAGGAGGUAAUCCAAGGUAGCCGGGGCUCUCCCAUAAAUCGGCACCCCAUGCUUCAGUGCUCUGCUGUACCACGGACAAGACCAGUUCAGGCUGUGUAAUUGGGUGGAAAGAUAAGGACUUUCAAGGCCAACUCCCUCAUAGCAGGCCUAGUCACUAAUCAGUGUGACUGUGCACAAGUUUCCUUGCUAAUAAAAUGGAAAUUGUCACUC
Long non-coding RNA from Homo sapiens (human), 1035 nucleotides. RefSeq lists it as uncharacterized. NCBI's taxonomy places the organism in Eukaryota, Metazoa, Chordata, Mammalia, Primates, Hominidae. The transcript is spliced from 2 exons. The record is from RefSeq and is a predicted model, not a curated record.